GAAAACCACAAGCAGGAAAUGUUGUCUUACUAUUCUGAGCAAAAAAAAAAAGGGAUUCCGGUAAAGUGAUUUUGUGCCAUACCGUAACCUACCAAGGGUCCCUCCCGCCGAGAAAGAGACUGCAAGCCCCAAGCGCUGACUGUUGAACAAAGCGAGAGAAUAACUUGCUUUUUAUUUCAAGGAUCAACUGUCGACUGUUAUUAUGAGACAUGGCUACAAGUAAGCUGAAGUGUUGCCUCGACUGGACAGGAAGAGGAAGAUAUUGUUGCGCCCUGAGGAGGAGUGAUCGGGUCCUAUUGAAAGAAACACUCGAUCAGAACUGGAAAACUGUGAUUGAUUUGCACGAUUAUAAUGAUGGCGGGUUUAGGUCAGCUGUACUUUAUUAAUCAAUGUUAGUUACUUAAAAGGGACAUUUUGAGAAACGUUUUAUGAUCGCCAAGUGAACUUCAUAAGACUCACAGAGGUACAGAAAUAGGCUGGCUGUCAUCGAGACAGAUGGAUUUAUGAACCAGUAUUAUUUAGAGGGCGGGACUGAAACUGAAAUGAACAAGGCGCGGCCAAGAAUCCCCUUCACACGUGCAGACAAAGAGCGCCAACAACACAACCCAAAUAUGCACUUUUAAACUUUUUCAAACGCAAUGGACGACUUCCACGAACAUUGGAAAUGCAACGGUGGGUUGAAACUUGUUUUAUUUGGAAAGCUUUUUUUUCGGGAGGCCUAAAUUGGAAAAAGGACCUUGGAGCCGUACCUUCACAACAGGAUUUUAGCUGCAGGUCCUUUGAAUAACCAUCUACACUGUGGUGGAUUUACCCGCGACCCGGACCGGACUCAUGGAAUCGGAAUUGGAUUAUAUCUGCAGGCGCACAUCACAACAAAGGCUCUCCAAAUUGGAUAGGCGUCUCAUCGGACCCUCAAGGACAACAUGGAGACUAACCCCAGGUCAGCAGAAGGUCAAGCCCACUGCCCUGCCCGAAGUUAGAGGUCAGGGGUUAAAGGUCAUGUCCUGUUGACCCUGCGUGUGAGAUAAGCGGGCUAGGCUGGGAGCAGGGAGCCCCUGGUGGAAGGACCUGGCUCUGGACCACGGUUGUCAUUGGCAGCUUGUCAGGCUGAGCAGAGCUGGACAGCAGGAGGUAGCUAUGGUGUGCUGUGUUAUAUCCAAGUUGUGUGUGUGUGUGUGUGUGUGUGUGUGUGUCUGUGUGUGUGUGUGCUGUGUGUGUGUGUGUGUGUGUGUGUGUGUGUGUGUGUGUGUGUGUGUGUGUGUGUGUGUGUGUGUGUGUGUGUGUGUGUGAGAGAGAUAUGUCGAGGCGGACUGGUUUAUGACUUGUUCCUGUGAACCUCACUCACAUCUCAUGCAACACUGAAUGUGAAGAGCUUCGUAGCCUGGGACAUUCAUCCAAUUGAUAUUGUUGUUUAUUAUUAUCCAGGCUAUUAGAACCAAGUGGACAGAACGGGUUAUUGUUGUUUACUAUUAUCCAGGCUAUUAGAACCAAGUGGACAGAAUGGUU
Molecule: long non-coding RNA, 1506 nt
Filed under: Salmo trutta (river trout)
Lineage: Eukaryota; Metazoa; Chordata; Actinopteri; Salmoniformes; Salmonidae
Description: lncRNA (ENSSTUG00000025966.1)
Source: RNAcentral